Molecule: long non-coding RNA, 245 nt
Filed under: Capsicum annuum
Lineage: Eukaryota; Viridiplantae; Streptophyta; Magnoliopsida; Solanales; Solanaceae
Description: long non-coding RNA (CANN_LNC001966)
Source: RNAcentral
UUCGCAGACAAAGUCCGAACAAAACUUAAGGAUAGAUUUGAGGGCCAGAUUCCUUACAACAUCCUUACUUAUGGAGACUUAGUAAGUUUCAUUACCACUACGGGGAUAGAACUCUGUACAGACCUUAAGCUUAAACAACAGUUGAAGCAGAAUCACAAAUACGGUCUGACAACCUUCUGCCAAGAUUAUGGUUUUACUGACCUCCAUGACGGAAAGAGGCAUAAAAGAAUGCCCCCGAANNNNNN